RNAcentral lists this non-coding RNA (232 nucleotides) under Streptomyces oceani. The record is from RNAcentral. Lineage: Bacteria; Bacillati; Actinomycetota; Actinomycetes; Kitasatosporales; Streptomycetaceae.
UUAUCUGGCGGGGCAGCUGGUUCGCCCCACCCCGCGCGGGUGGACGCGACGAAAGAGGGAACCCGGUGCGAAUCCGGGACUGCCCCGCAGCGGUGAGCGGAAACGACCGCCGUCACGUGCACUGGCCCGACCCGGGCCGGGAAGCGACGGCCACUAGGCGUCCUGCCGGCAGGCACCUGCCCGGCACGACAUGUCCGCGAGUCCGAAGACCUGCCACUGCCCGCGUGCAGCC